This 5504-nucleotide unclassified non-coding RNA is filed under the name Haliotis rufescens (red abalone). RNAcentral describes it as "cation-dependent mannose-6-phosphate receptor-like, transcript variant X3". The record is from RNAcentral. Lineage: Eukaryota; Metazoa; Mollusca; Gastropoda; Lepetellida; Haliotidae.
AAGAGCCAUUGUGAUAUUCACUGCUGAGACGUAAACAUAGAAAAUGGAACCGGUGACUGUGGAUCGAGUUUUGCGAAUGAUACUUCAUUCUUAUUUCGUGUUAUGUAUAUUGUCAGUAUUAUCUGCAGCUGAUGAGUGUGUCAAGGUUGACACCUGUACAUGCAAGACAUCAACACGGACGAUAAAUCUGCACCCGUUAUCAGCAAACACUGGACCAAGAUUCACCAUUCCUGUUGCAGGCUCGGACAAAUACUUCUACAAUCCAUGUAAAGAUUUUACAGAGGGAACUUCAACUGGUGUGGUUAUUCAACUACAAGGUGGAGUGUACUAUGUAACUGGAGAUGACAAUACAGCAACCUUUAGUGGUGACCCUGACCUUGGCACCUUGACCUUGAGCUAUCAACAUGCAGAGGGCGGGAUCAUCAGAAUUUCAAAAGUGAAGUUAGUUUGCAUGGAAGGUACAAAUCAACUGAUCUUUAAUGAAGAAAACCCCAAACUGAAUUAUAAAUUUACGUUGAACACAGAAUAUGUGUGCAUCCCUGGGAGUCAGUCGGGCCUGAGUACAGGAUCAAUACUUGUUAUUUUAUUCUUUGUGCUUCUGGUGGUGUAUUUGAUAGCAGGAAUCUUGUUCCUGAGGUUUAUCCGAAAAGCAGAGGGAUUAGAGUUGGUUCCGAAUUAUGAUUUCUGGACUGCUAUACCUUCCUUGAUACGGGAUGGAAUUUAUUUCACUCUCCGAGGAUUCAAGACUGAAUCAACAUAUCAGAAGAUUUGAUAGUCUCUUCAUGUUUCUUGUUAUUUGUGUGUGAGAGGAACUCAGGUUUUCACUGGUGUCACUGGUGCAUAGUGCAUAGUUCAUAAUAUCAAAAUCUCAUGUGUGAAAUCGAACUUAUUUAUGCAUACGUAGUUUUCUAGACAUAUUCCAGAAUGUAUAUAUUUUUGAAAUAAUAGAUGAUAGCUAUGUGUAAUAUAUUUUCAAGAAGAUAUGUUUUGAAUAAUUCCAUGCAAAGAUUUCUUCAACAUGAUAUUUUCCAUCUAUUGCUUUGUGUCGGUUUGAAUCGUCAGUUGGUUGUGACAAGCAGAAAGUCUGCUAAAGAAACCGCUAGGUGGAUACUUCCAAUAACAGAGGGGCACAGGUGGCCCAGUUGUCUUAGGUGCUGCAAUUCACUGUGCAGAGUUGUGUCCCUUGGACAUGAAUGAUCAUGGGGUUGAGUCUUGGUUCUGCCCUAUGAUGUUUCUAGGUUUGUCAGCACUAUACCCGUGCUUGUGGGUUUCACCGAAGUGGUAAACGUCUGAGACCUGCAUCACUUCAGGCUUUCCUCCCACAUUAAGCUGACAUCCCGUGAUAUAACUGGAAUACUAUUAAAAGUGGCAUAAAGCCCAGCUCACUCCACCAAAAGUUACGGAACUUUUGCUAUGAUCUUAUUUAGCAGUGGUCUAAAGUUGUCUAGUUGUUGCAGUUGGAGUGAGUGAGUGAGUGUGUAUGGUUUUUACGCUGCUUUUAGCAAUAUUCCAGCAAUAUCAGCGCGGGGACACCAGAAAUCGGCUUCACACAUUGUACCCAUGUUGGGAAUCGAACCCGGGUCUUCGGCAUGACGAGCGAAUGCUUUAACCACUAGGCUACCCAACCGUCCCUGUUGCUGUUGGAGAUGGAGGAGUUGGAGAUAAGGGUGCAUGGGCAAUGUAUCUCUUUGAAUGUUUGAUAAGAAAGAUUUAACACAAACUUUCUACCGUGACGUUCUUCAAUUAUGAUAUAUAUCCAACCUGCUUUUGUAUGUUCUGUAAGAUAAGACUGUGUUGAAUGAUGUAUGAGAGAUUCAGCUUCUUUUUGUUAGAUCUGAAGUAGAUGUGGAUCCACAUGUAUGUAAUUCCUGCCACUGUUUGCCCACUAGGGGAUACCAAGUUUUGGCUAUUAGAUCUGAAGUAGGCGUGAAUCCACAUGUAUCUUGGCCCUGCCACUGUCUGCCCAGAGGUUCCAAGUUUUGACUUUUAGAUCUGAAGUAGAUGUGAAUCCAUAUGUAUCUCGGUCCCAAGUUUUGGCUAUUAGAUCUCAAGUAGAUGUGAAUCCAUAUGUAUCUAGGCCCUGCCACUGUCUGCCAAGAGGUUCCAAGUUUUGACUUUUAGAUCCGAAAUAGACGUUAUUCCAUAUGUAUCUAGGUCCUGCCACUAUAUGCACAGAGGCUCCAAGUUUUGACUCUUAGAUCUCAAGUAGACGUUAUUCCAUAUGUUUCUAGGUCCUGCCACUGUCUGCCCAGAGGUUCCAAGUUUUGACUUUUAGAUCUCAAGUAGAUGUGAAUCCAUAUGUAUCCAGGCCAUGCCACUGUAUGCACAGAGGCUCCAAGUUUUGCCAAUUAGAUCUCAAGUAGAUGUGAAUCCAUAUGUAUCUAGGUCCUGCCACUGUCUGCCCAGAGGUUCCAAGUUUUGGCUAUUAGAUCUGAAGUAGACGUUAUUCCAUAUGUAUCUAGGUCCUGCCACUAUAUGCACAGAGGUUCCAAGUUUUGGCUCUUAGAUCUGAAGUAGACGUUAUUCCAUAUGUAUCUAGGUCCUGCCACUAUAUGCCCAGAGGUUCCAAGUUUUGGCUAUUAGAUCUGAAGUAUACGUUAUUCCAUAUGUAUCUAGGUCCUGCCACUAUAUGCACAGAGGUUCCAAGUUUUUACUCUUAGAUCUCAAGUAGACGUUAUUCCAUAUGUAUCUAGGUCCUGCCACUAUAUGCACAGAGGUUCCAAGUUUUGACUCUUAGAUCUCAAGUAGGUGUGAAUCCAUAUGUAUCUAGGUCCUGCCACUGUCUGCCCAGAGGUUCCAAGUUUUGACUUUUAGAUCUGAAGUAGAUGUGAAUCCAUAUGUAUCUAGGUCCUGCCACUAUAUGCACAGAGGCUCCAAGUUUUUACUCUUAGAUCUCAAGUAGAUGUGAAUCCACAUGUAUCUAGGUCCUGCCACUUUCUGCCCAGAGGUUCCAAGUUUUGACUCUUAGAUCUCAAGUAGGUGUAAAUCCAUAUGUAUCUAGGUCCUGCCACUGUAUGCACAGAGGCUCCAAGCUUGACUUUUAGGUCUCAAGUAAAUGUGAAUCCAUAUGUAUCUAGGUCCUGCCACUGUCUGCCCAGAGGUUCCAAGUUUUGACUUUUAGAUCUCAUGUAGAUGUGAAUCCAUAUGUAUCUAGGUCCUGCCACUGUCUGCCCAGAGGCUGCAAGCUUUGACUUUUAGAUCUGAAGUAGAUGUGAAUCCAUAUGUAUCUAAUUCCUGCCACUGUCCUUCCAAUAGGAGAUUCAAAGUUUAAGCUUUUACAUCCUAAGUAGUAAACUGACACACUAAAAUUGCAUAUUUGAUUUUUUGUAAUAUUUUGCAAAAUGGCCACAAAAAUCAAUUGAAAUUGCUCAGAGCAUUUGGGCAUGAGAUAAUCAACACAAUGUCAUCGUUGGGGUUCAAGUCUCAUUUGAUGUGUUUCGAUAUAGACACAGAAAAACACAGCUUGUCUGAUGCUUCAAAUUUUGAUUGUGUGUUUUUCUGUGUGCCAGUAUAUGAAACUCCUGCCAUGGUCUGCCCAGAUAUUUCAAGUUUUGGCAGUUAGAUCUGAAGUGUAUGUGGAUCCACGUGUCUCCCUACGUCCUGCUACUUUCUAAUAACAAGUUACAGCUUUCUGAUUUAUUAUUAUCCCCCGUUACGAAGUGGAAGGCGGAUAUAGGAAUGGUAGCUGUCCAUCCAUCCAUGACGUUUUGUUUCUGGAGCCGAACUAAAAAACCAUGAAGGAUAUCUUAACCAAACUUGUCACAUAGAUAGGUCUAGUGGUGAACUGGUGCCUUUUGAUAGUUUGGGAUUUUUAAAAAAGAUUCUUUUUAAGUUUCCAUAGUCACGACUUGGACUUAGACUGAAAGUGGUGGUAGUGCCCGUUUCUGGAGGACUGAUGCCUUGCACACAACCAGUCAUGUCAUAUUGGCGGGGGAUAUGAGUAUUUCAUGCUUAUUAUAUGUUAAUUGAAUACUAUUACUCAUUCUUAUUUCCCUUCCAUGGAUUUGUCCCUACUUUAUGAGUGUUAUCCUGAACCCAAAGUGUUUAAGCAAAGUGUGAAAGGUAAAAUAUACUGUAAGUCAUGAAAUUAAUGCAAGCCUUACUUAAUGCAAAAUACAUAAUAACAAAUCUCAUAAUAAACAAUGUAAUUGGCGCUAGAUUAAGACAGUGCUUCUUACCAUGUUCAUUGUCAAGUGUGGUCAACUUGUUUACACAUGUUGAUCAAACAGUUAUGACUGUCGCAAACCAGGUAGGACAGCAUCUUUGUUCUUGGUAAGCUUGUCAAAUAAUCUUACAUAGUGAUAAUGUCCAGUACAGUUACAGCAGCCGGUAAAGCAUUUCGCAAACUGUUUUAACAAGCUUUGUCAGUGAUCCGAGCUAUCUCUUUUGAAUAUGCGUUGUCUGAAAUUUCCUGUUUUUGAGUUCCUGAAAGUUUUAUCACAUGUAAAGCAGUUAAGUUAAGUUGUGAGAUAACAACAUAUCAUCCCACACUAUAUGAUUGAAUUCCAUGUCUACAACCUUUAUCUUAUUGUUUGCUGAUUAACUUUUGAAGGGUACUCACAUUAAUCUGGUGAAAUUAACUUCAUGAUUUACAGUACAUUUAUUUUUGUCAAGGAAAGAAUGAUGGAUAUAUUUAUUUUGUUUGUUGUUUAACAACACACUCUGCAACAGUCCAGCUUAUAACAGCGGUUUGUAAAUAAUUGAGUGGAUCAGACGACCCUCUGGUAGACAUCAUGAGCAUCAGCCUUUGCAUUUUGAUAUGAUGACCUGCAUCAAUGAGUCAACAAGCCUGACCACCCGAUCCCGUUAGUCUCCUAAUUUUAAUCUGGAUCUUCACAGGUUGAAGGACAUAUACUGCCCCAAGUUUGGCCUGUUAGAUCUAAAGAUGUGGAACCCAAGUUAACUUCAUUUUGCUUCUGUACACUCUUGCUAUUCAUGCAAUAACUAACAUGGUAGAAGGUAAUAUAUUGUCAUGGAGAUGUACAUUGCAAGCAUUGCAUUUGAUUGGCAUUUCUUUCAUUUUGUUUCCAUAAACCAAAGAAAAUAUGCCAUGCCCAAAAGAAGACUACGGUUUUGUGAUUGGCUGAUAAUAGAAUGGGAGGGGCUUAAAAUGCAUUAUUGUGCUGAAUGAUGUCACUCCUUUCAUACUGUUCACAGUUUUUUGUGUAAAUGAUUACAUGAGAAAGACGUCUGUAAAUUUAUUAUUGGUGGUGUAUUCAUUUAUAAGAAUUGUCUUCCAUGUUUUUUGCAUUGUGGAUUUACAUAGUAUGCACACCAGUUUUUACGUUUUUACAUACAUAAGCGCUAUUGAUACCGAAGUCACUUCUUUAUUUAUUUAAUACUAUUUGUUAGGCUAAUGGUAAUUUUGUCUUAGGCGCCACGAUUCACUGUGCAGAGUCACGUCCCCUGGGCACGCCAGAAACCUAUGAUUGCUGGUUCGAAUCCCGGUUUGCCCCGAUUAUCUUUCUGGGUUUGUCAUCACCAUACCUGUGCUCGUGGGUUUC